AGUGAACGCUGGCGGUAGGCCUAACACAUGCAAGUCGAACGGCAGCACAGUAAGAGCUUGCUCUUACGGGUGGCGAGUGGCGGACGGGUGAGGAAUACAUCGGAAUCUACUUUUUCGUGGGGGAUAACGUAGGGAAACUUACGCUAAUACCGCAUACGACCUACGGGUGAAAACAGGGGAUCUUCGGACCUUGCGCGAUUGAAUGAGCCGAUGUCGGAUUAGCUAGUUGGCGGGGUAAAGGCCAACCAAGGCGACGAUCCGUAGCUGGUCUGGGAGGAUGAUCAGCCACACGGGAACUGAGACACGCUCCAGACUCCUACGGGAGGCAGCAGUGGGGAAUAUUGGACAAUGGGCGCAAGCCUGAUCCAGCCAUACCGCGUGGGUGAAGAAGGCCUUCGGGUUGUAAAGCCCUUUUGUUGGGAAAGAAAAGCAGCAGGUUAAUACCCCGCUGUUCUGACGGUACCCAAAGAAUAAGCACCGGCUAACUUCGUG
This 492-nucleotide ribosomal RNA is filed under the name uncultured bacterium. Its description in RNAcentral is "partial 16S ribosomal RNA". It matches the Rfam family "Bacterial small subunit ribosomal RNA", at positions 29 to 507 of the family's 1533-position model. The record is from RNAcentral.